ACACAUGCAAGUCGAACGAGAAGAGAUGAGAAGCUUGCUUCUUAUCGAUUCGAGUGGCAAACGGGUGAGUAACGCGUAAGCAACCUGCCCUCUAGAUGGGGACAACAGCUGGAAACGGCUGCUAAUACCGAAUACGUUCUUUCUGCCGCAUGGCAGAAGGAAGAAAGGGAGGCUCUUCGGAGCUUUCGCUGGAGGAGGGGCUUGCGUCUGAUUAGCUAGUUGGAGGGGUAACGGCCCACCAAGGCGACGAUCAGUAGCCGGUCUGAGAGGAUGAACGGCCACAUUGGGACUGAGACACGGCCCAGACUCCUACGGGAGGCAGCAGUGGGGAAUCUUCCGCAAUGGACGAAAGUCUGACGGAGCAACGCCGCGUGAACGAUGACGGCCUUCGGGUUGUAAAGUUCUGUUAUACGGGACGAAUGGUACGACGGUCAAUACCCGUCGUAAGUGACGGUACCGUAAGAGAAAGCCACGGCUAACUACGUGCCAGCAGCCGCGGUAAUACGUAGGUGGCAAGCGUUGUCCGGAAUUAUUGGGCGUAAAGGGCGCGCAGGCGGCGUCGUAAGUCGGUCUUAAAAGUGCGGGGCUUAACCCCGUGAGGGGACCGAAACUGCGAUGCUAGAGUAUCGGAGAGGAAAGCGGAAUUCCUAGUGUAGCGGUGAAAUGCGUAGAUAUUAGGAGGAACACCAGUGGCGAAAGCGGCUUUCUGGACGACAACUGACGCUGAG
Molecule: ribosomal RNA, 728 nt
Filed under: uncultured bacterium
Lineage: Bacteria
Description: bacterial SSU rRNA
Rfam family: Bacterial small subunit ribosomal RNA
Source: RNAcentral